This 490-nucleotide ribosomal RNA is filed under the name uncultured bacterium. Its description in RNAcentral is "partial 16S ribosomal RNA". It matches the Rfam family "Bacterial small subunit ribosomal RNA", at positions 28 to 507 of the family's 1533-position model. The record is from RNAcentral.
GAUGAACGCUAGCGGCAGGCCUAAUACAUGCAAGUCGAACGGGAUCCAGAUCAAAGCUUGCUUUGGUCUGGUGAGAGUGGCGCACGGGUGCGUAACGCGUGAGCAACCUACCCUUGUCAGGGGGAUAGCCCGGCGAAAGUCGGAUUAAUACCGCAUGACAUCAUUGUGAGGCAUCUUUCGAUGAUCAAAGAUUUAUAGUACAAGGAUGGGCUCGCGUGACAUUGGCUGGUGGGUAAGGUAAGGGCUUACAAAGCCUGUGAUGUUUAGGGGCGGUGAGAGGGGCAUCACUCAGACUGAUACUGGGACACGGACCAGACGCCUGCGAGAGGCAGCAGUAAGGAGUAUAGGUCAAUGGACGGAAGUGUGAACCAGCGAGGCCGCGUGCAGGAGGACGGCCCUAUGGAGUGUAGUCUGCUGUUAAGCGGGAACAUACGACUGUACGUGUACCGGUCUGAGUGUACCGUAAGAAUAAGGAUCGGCUAACUCCGUG